GCGAGUCUGUGAGUGUGUAGUGCAGGCAGGGAAAUGCAAUUCGACAGCAGCAGAAUGGCUCACACACACACACACACAUCUUUCUUCCCUAUGGCCAGAAAGAGAGAAAGAGAUGGAGAGAAUAUGGUUGGAUUGUGGAGAGUGAUGGAGGCAAGUCUGUGUCGGGGGAGAAUGAGCGAAAGAGAGGGAGAGAGAGAUUGAGCGACAGAGGUAGAAAGACCCAUACAUCAUGCAGGCUCAUAUCAUUUCCUUUGACAUGUCAUUUUCAUCUGCUCGAGGAGGAGAAGAAGAAAACAUUUAUUUUCCUGGCUGCCUGACCAAAAAAAGGGGACCAUCCGUCCAUAUAGAACUCUGACCCACACCGGCGAAGACAAACGAAGUAAAGAAGAAAAACCUGUCUAGUCUUUUUUAACGUUUCCUUAAUGCUUCCUUUCUGCUUGACAUUAUGCACCUAAACAGCUGUCUCCAGUCUAUGUGGAAAACUAUUUUGUGACACUGCAGUGUGUGGUGGAUUGGUUCUGGAUUGUUCACACCCUGAUGGGCAUGUGGUGUGUGCGGGGGGAGAGAGACUGGUUUUAUCCCAGAAGAUGAAGUGGUCAGUCAACAGUCCAGUGAAGAGUGUCAGACAGACACCCUGCAGUACAGCGGUACAUCUCUACAGCCAGGCUGGCUAGCACAGAGACACACACAGGGAGUAUCCACACCCAGCACACACACACACAGCCACGGGUAGAGUAUACUGGAGGAACAAGCCGCAUCAUUAAACCCCCAACUGAAGCACAGUCCUUGGUUUGAAGGUAUACAUGAGGUAAAAACAGACCUUGGGUUUAUUUGAGGAGAAAUUCUAACUGACAACCAAGGAAGAUUUUUUUUUUUUUCCCCAUCUUUCAUUUGCCCCUGAAUGUGCUUCUGUUGCUUAGGCCCAGCGCUUCUCUUUUUCAAAUGUUAAUUCGGGUUUUAUCCAGAUGGCAAAACUCAUUUCAGGCUUCAUGUACUGUAUGGAGAGUGGCUAUUGACAGGUGAAAUAAAGAUGUUUCGCCCCCA
Long non-coding RNA from Salvelinus fontinalis (brook trout), 1044 nucleotides. RefSeq lists it as uncharacterized. The record is from RefSeq and is a predicted model, not a curated record. The transcript is spliced from 2 exons. Lineage: Eukaryota; Metazoa; Chordata; Actinopteri; Salmoniformes; Salmonidae.